Molecule: non-coding RNA, 70 nt
Organism: Ictidomys tridecemlineatus (thirteen-lined ground squirrel)
Lineage: Eukaryota; Metazoa; Chordata; Mammalia; Rodentia; Sciuridae
Source: Rfam
GGGGAGAUAGCUCAGUUGGUAGAGUGCUUGCCUUGUAUGCACUAGGGCCUGGGUUCAAUCCCCAGCACCA